CGUAGGUGACCUGCGGAAGGAUCAUUACUGAGUGAGGGUCCCUCGGGGCCCAACCUCCCACCCGUGUAUACCGUACCUUGUUGCUUCGGCGAGCCCGCCCCCCUUCCUUAGGGGUGGCACAGCGCUCGCCGGAGACACCAACGUGAACACUGUCUGAAGUUUUGUCGUCUGAGUCGAUUGUAUCGCAAUCAGUUAAAACUUUCAACAAUGGAUCUCUUGGUUCCGGCAUCGAUGAAGAACGCAGCGAAAUGCGAUAAUUAAUGUGAAUUGCAGAAUUCAGUGAAUCAUCGAGUCUUUGAACGCACAUUGCACCCCCUGGUAUUCCGGGGGGUAUGCCUGUCCGAGCGUCAUUGCUGCCCUCAAGCACGGCUUGUGUGUUGGGUCGUCGUCCCCCCCGGGGGACGGGCCCGAAAGGCAGCGGCGGCACCGCGUCCGGUCCUCGAGCGUAUGGGGCUUUGUCACCCGCUCUUGUAGGCCCGGCCGGCUGCUGGCCGACGCUGAAAAGCAACCAAUCUAUUUCAUCAGGUUGACCUCGGAUCAGGUAGGGAUACCCGCUGAACUUAAGCAUAUCAAA
Molecule: ribosomal RNA, 574 nt
Filed under: Aspergillus sp. N59
Lineage: Eukaryota; Fungi; Ascomycota; Eurotiomycetes; Eurotiales; Aspergillaceae
Description: eukaryotic LSU rRNA
Rfam family: 5.8S ribosomal RNA (bases 197-350)
Source: RNAcentral